UUACAGGUUAUAGAAGGUGGAAAGAAAAGUUUGUUCGUGGCUAUCAUAAAUGAAUUCUACACGUUCGAUUUGAUGGAAAUA
Molecule: long non-coding RNA, 81 nt
Organism: Frieseomelitta varia
Lineage: Eukaryota; Metazoa; Arthropoda; Insecta; Hymenoptera; Apidae
Exons: 3
Source: RefSeq, a predicted model, not a curated record